RNAcentral lists this transfer RNA (535 nucleotides) under uncultured Prochlorococcus sp. Its description in RNAcentral is "partial 16S-23S ribosomal RNA intergenic spacer". The stretch from base 209 to 281 matches the Rfam family "tRNA". The record is from RNAcentral. Lineage: Bacteria; Bacillati; Cyanobacteriota; Cyanophyceae; Synechococcales; Prochlorococcaceae.
CAGGGAGACAACAAAAUGUUUAAUAUUAUUUUGUCACCUUAGGUCGAUCGGUAUCUCACAUUCUUAAUUUAUUAAGGAUUUUAUUUCCUAAGUUUUUCUAGGUCACACCCAUUACUUUUCCUGGGCCAUUAGCUCAGGUGGUUAGAGCGCACCCCUGAUAAGGGUGAGGUCCCUGGUUCAAGUCCAGGAUGGCCCAUAUCUCUAUGUUGGGGGUAUAGCUCAGUUGGUAGAGCGCCUGCUUUGCAAGCAGGAUGUCAGCGGUUCGAGUCCGCUUACCUCCACUGAUUACCACCUCUUCCAUAAUUUUAUUAAGGAAAUGUUUUGAGUAGUGAUCAAAUUCUGAACGAAUCUAGCUUCCUAAUGAAAUCAUUAAGAUGCUGGACUCAUUGAAUUAAUUUCAUUGUUUUCAGAGAACCUUGACAACUGCAUAGAUUAUUUUUAAAGACAAUAAGCAUCUUUAUGAUGCAGAUUUAUUAUUUGUGCGAAUGCAUUAAUAACAAUUCUAUUAAGCUGAUGCUUCAAUUAUGAAGUUAUU